UACGUAGGGGGCAAGCGUUGUCCGGAAUCAUUGGGCGUAAAGAGCGUGUAGGCGGCCCGAUAAGUCCGCUCUGAAAGUCCAGGGCUCAACCCUGGAAAGCGGGUGGAUACUGCCGGGCUAGAAUCCGGAAGAGGCGAGUGGAAUUCCUGGUGUAGCGGUGGAAUGCGCAGAUAUCAGGAGGAACACCGGUGGCGAAGGCGGGUCUCUGGGCCGAUACUGACACUGAGAAGCGAAAGCGUGGGGAGCGAACAGG
Molecule: ribosomal RNA, 253 nt
Filed under: uncultured bacterium
Lineage: Bacteria
Description: partial 16S ribosomal RNA
Rfam family: Bacterial small subunit ribosomal RNA
Source: RNAcentral